RNAcentral lists this ribosomal RNA (398 nucleotides) under Ptychobranchus subtentus. RNAcentral describes it as "Ptychobranchus subtentum partial 16S ribosomal RNA". It matches the Rfam family "Bacterial large subunit ribosomal RNA", at positions 1925 to 2559 of the family's 2925-position model. The record is from RNAcentral. Lineage: Eukaryota; Metazoa; Mollusca; Bivalvia; Unionida; Unionidae.
AAACGGCCGCGUUAGCGUGAGCGUGCUAAGGUAGCGUAAUAAAUAGCCUUUUAAUUGGAGGCCAGUGAAUGGCAAGACUAGGGACACCUGUACCCCAUAUGAGAAAACAACUUUUCGUCUGAGUGAAAAGACCCAGAUAAUAAAGGAAGACGAAAAGACCCCGCGGAACUUUACCUUUUCUCGUCUCCAUAUGCUCAGAAACACAAAAACAAAAGGUUUGAUUGGGGCAAUCUCGGAACCACCAAAACUUCCGACUUAUAAGUAAGAGAAUAUAAAACUCAAUAAGGACUAAAAAGAAGUUACCCCGGGGAUAACAGCGUAAUCCAACUUGAGAGUACAUAUCGAAAGUUGGGUUUGCGACCUCGAUGUUGGCUUAAGGAUAUCCACAUAAGUGCAAC